UACGGAAUAAUUGUUGGAAACGGCAACUAAUACCGUAUACGCCCUACGGGGGAAAGAUUUAUUGCUAUUAGAUGAGCCUAUAUUAGAUUAGCUAGUUGGUAAGGUAAUGGCUUACCAAGGCAAUGAUCUAUAGCUGAUCUGAGAGGAUGAUCAGCCACACUGGAACUGAGAUACGGUCUAGACUCCUACGGGAGGCAGCAGUGGGGAAUAUUGGACAAUGGGCGAAAGCCUGAUCCAGCCAUGCCGCAUGAGUGAAGAAGGCCUUUGGGUUGUAAAGCUCUUUCGGUGAGGAAGAUAAUGACGGUACUCACAGAAGAAGUCCUGGCUAACUCCGUGCCAGCAGCCGCGGUAAUACGGAGAGGGCUAGCGUUAUUCGGAAUUAUUGGGCGUAAAGAGCGCGUAGGCUGGUUAGUAAGUUAAAAGUGAAAUCCCAAAGCUCAACUUUGGAAUUGCUUUUAAAACUGCUAACCUAGAGAUUGAAAGAGGAUAGAGGAAUUCCUAGUGUAGAGGUGAAAUUCGUAAAUAUUAGGAGGAACACCAGUGGCGAAGGCGUCUAUCUGGUUCAAAUCUGACGCUGAGGCGCGAAGGCGUGGGGAGCAAACAGGAUUAGAUACCCUGGUAGUCCACGCUGUAAACGAUGAAUGUUAAAUAUGGGGAGUUUACUUUCUGUAUUACAGCUAACGCGUUAAACAUUCCGCCUGGGGACUACGGUCGCAAGAUUAAAACUCAAAGGAAUUGACGGGGACCCGCACAAGCGGUGGAGCAUGUGGUUUAAUUCGAUGCAACGCGAAAAACCUUACCACUCCUUGACAUGGAAAUCAUACCUAUUCGAAGGGAUAGGGUCGGUUCGGCCGGAUUUCACACAGGUGUUGCAUGGCUGUCGUCAGCUCGUGUCGUGAGAUGUUGGGUUAAGUCCCGCAACGAGCGUAACCCUCAUCCUUAGUUACCAUCAGGUAAUGCUGGGGACUUUAAGGAAACUGCUAGUGAUAAACUGGAGGAAGGUGGGGAUGAUGUCAAGUCAUCAUGGCCCUUAUGGAGUGGGCUACACACGUGCUACAAUGGUGGCUACAAUGGGUUGCAAAGUCGCGAGGCUAAGCUAAUCCCUCAAAAGCCAUCUCAGUUCGGAUUGUACUCUGCAACUCGAGUGCAUGAAGUUGGAAUCGCUAGUAAUCGUGGAUCAGCAUGCCACGGUGAAUACGUUCUCGGGUCUUGUACA
RNAcentral lists this ribosomal RNA (1216 nucleotides) under Wolbachia sp. RNAcentral's name for it is "bacterial SSU rRNA". It matches the Rfam family "Bacterial small subunit ribosomal RNA", at positions 137 to 1387 of the family's 1533-position model. The record is from RNAcentral. Lineage: Bacteria; Pseudomonadati; Pseudomonadota; Alphaproteobacteria; Rickettsiales; Anaplasmataceae.